AAUAGAUACCCGGGUAGUCCACGCCGUAAACGAUGGAUACUAGCUGUUUGAGCGCAAGUUUGAGUGGCUAAGCGAAAGUGAUAAGUAUCCCACCUGGGGAGUACGGGCGCAAGCCUGAAACUCAAAGGAAUUGACGGGGGCCCGCACAAGCGGUGGAGCAUGUGGUUUAAUUCGAUGAUACGCGAGGAACCUUACCAGGGCUUAAAUGUAGAUUGACGUAUUUGGAAACAGAUAUUUCUUCGGACAAUUUACAAGGUGCUGCAUGGUUGUCGUCAGCUCGUGCCGUGAGGUGUCAGGUUAAGUCCUAUAACGAGCGCAACCCCUGUUGUUAGUUGCCAGCGAGUAAUGUCGGGAACUCUAGCAAGACUGCCAGUGUAAACUGUGAGGAAGGUGGGGAUGACGUCAAAUCAUCACGGCCCUUACGUCCUGGGCCACACACGUGCUACAAUGGCCGGUACGAGAGAGCAGCCACUUAGCGAUAAGGAGCGAAUACUAUAAAGACCGGUCGACAGUUCGGUAGUCGGAGUCUGCAA
This 533-nucleotide ribosomal RNA is filed under the name uncultured bacterium. RNAcentral describes it as "bacterial SSU rRNA". It matches the Rfam family "Bacterial small subunit ribosomal RNA", at positions 777 to 1310 of the family's 1533-position model. The record is from RNAcentral.